CGAACGCUGGCGGCAGGCUUAACACAUGCAAGUUGAACGGGAUUGCUUGGUGCUUGCACUGAGCGAUGAGAGUAGCGCACUGGUGAGUAACACGUGGGAACAUGCCUUUUGGUGGGGGACAACAGAGGGAAACUUCUGCUAAUACCGCAUAAGCCCUAAGGGGGAAAGAUUUAUUGCCGAAAGAUUGGCCCGCGGAAGAUUAGGUAGUUGGUGGGGUAAAGGCCUACCAAGCCGACGAUCUAUAGCUGGUCUGAGAGGACGAACAGCCACAUUGGAACUGAGACACGGUCCAGACUCCUACGGGAGGCAGCAGUGAGGAAUAUUGGGCAAUGGAGGAAACUCUGACCCAAGCCAUGCCGCGUGAGUGAAGAAGGUUUUCGAAUUGUAAAGCUCUUUCGGAUACGAGGAUGAUGACGGUAGUAUCUAAAGAAGCCCCGGCAAACUUCGUGCCAGCCGCAGC
Molecule: ribosomal RNA, 460 nt
Filed under: uncultured bacterium
Lineage: Bacteria
Description: bacterial SSU rRNA
Rfam family: Bacterial small subunit ribosomal RNA
Source: RNAcentral